GAUGUGGUGGCCGAGUGGUUAAGGUGAUGGACUGCUAAUCCAUUCUGCUUGGCAUGCAUGGGUUUGAAUCCUAUCCUCAUCG
Malaclemys terrapin pileata is the source of this 82-nucleotide non-coding RNA. The record is from the annotation of a RefSeq genome assembly. NCBI's taxonomy places the organism in Eukaryota, Metazoa, Chordata, Testudines, Emydidae.